RNAcentral lists this microRNA (21 nucleotides) under Arabidopsis lyrata. RNAcentral's name for it is "aly-miR3445-5p.2". Lineage: Eukaryota; Viridiplantae; Streptophyta; Magnoliopsida; Brassicales; Brassicaceae. The record is from miRBase by way of RNAcentral.
GGUCUUUCUCCCUAUCAAGCG